ACAGGGCACCCUUGCAGGGGAAACGUGAUGGUCAGCAGGACCUCACGAGACAGAGGCCGGCUUCCCGUUGGCCUCUCCAGGAAGCAGGCACCGUCUGCCUUUCCCAGCCCUGACGCUGCAGCUGUCUUGUCUGGGGCCGGGAGUUUGGAAGCCUCUGGUGAGCCAGCAGCUCCCAGGAGGCUACAGGGUCACAGCAGGGGAUACCUCCACAGUCAUCGGCCCCCUCCACCCCUCCCCUCUGCAGCCGUGGAAAUACAGGCACACAGAUUCAGUCUCUUCACCCAACCUACUUAGGAUGCAACCCAGGCACCCUCUCGGACCAUUUCACACGCGUUUAUCACCUCCGGGAAUGCUCACCCGUCGUUCCAGCCCCCCAUCCUCGCACCCUGCCCAGCACAUGGUAGGAUCUGGACCCCAGUUGAAAUCUAAGCACGGGAAGCGGGGAGAGCUCCGCAGAGACCAGAAUGCUGAUGUGACAACUGGAGCUUCAGCAACUCUUUUGGCUCAUGAGGCACCUGUGAGACAGGAAGGCUAAGAGUAGAAGCAGAGAAAAAGAGGAGGAGCCCAGGUCCGUGGUCACCCUGUGGAGCUACCCAGGUAUCCCAGGACCUUGAACCUCUAGAAUUUUUUUUUUUAACGUGAAAGAGAAAUUUCCAUUGUGUUUGUUGCAGCUUCUGUCACUCACACAGUUCUUAUCUGUUACGCAUGUCAUAAAGGAUCACGUAAGCACCAA
Long non-coding RNA from Herpailurus yagouaroundi (jaguarundi), 733 nucleotides. RefSeq lists it as uncharacterized. The transcript has 3 exons. NCBI's taxonomy places the organism in Eukaryota, Metazoa, Chordata, Mammalia, Carnivora, Felidae. The record is from RefSeq and is a predicted model, not a curated record.